GAUUUGUAAUUUUAAAUCUUUCUGAAUUAUCAUCAGAACAGUUUCACUAAUAUAUAAUCACCUCAUCAUGGUCUUAUCCUGAUUAAUAUUCUAUCCGCAAAAUCAGUCACCUAUUCUCAAUUUAUUUCACAAAUUAUUUGGUAGAAUCUGUGUGUUUACGGCACUUGGGUUGCACUUGGGGCGUGAAAAUGGGAUCGUGUUUCGGUCACAUAACUAGUUUUCAAGGAAGCUCCAGCAGGAAUCCUGUCAUUCAUAUGUCUACAUUCAAUCCAAGAACGGACGAAGUGGAGCUUAAAUUCUUGCUAGCAGAGUCGCAGUAUGCAGAGGGAGCUAGACCCUUCAGGACCUCAUCAAGUGGAGUCCCUUUCAUGAAACGCGCUCGCUCAAUUUUAUCUUGGGAGCAAUUGAAGGCUUCUAGAAAGAAGUUACAAAAGAUGGUACUUCGGCAAAAUGAAACGAUAGAUUUGCGCCAUUUGAAACCAGAAACGGCCCCCUCAAAGGAUAUGAUUCUUACUUUGGAUGCGAAACAGCUAUUGAAAAUGAAAUCUGGAGUAUUGACAAAUCAUUAUCUGGCACUAGACUCGCCUCCAAGUUCCCUCGACCUGGAGUGGGAAAAUGAAGGUUUAUCAGCAACCAGUUGUGUUCAGAGUGACUAUGCAACGACACUUGCAACCAUAUCUUCCAAUGAUCUGUCGAGCGACCCCAGUGACCGGAGCUCUAUCGAGUCGUUGGAGUGGGAUCUCUGUAUGAACCAUUAUUCUAACGCGUCCUAUGAUGGAAAGUGUCGCAUGACGCAGCUCCAAGACUUUAGUGUACAACCUUUGAAACAGUCAAACAAAGAAAGAUGACAGAUAGAGAGCACCUUGUAAAGGUUUUUAAUUUUAGCCAAACAUGCAAGACUUAAGAGCUCUAGUCUUUAUGUGCCAUGAAAUGAACGUAUGGAGGUUUCAUCAGUUUUCAACCGUCAAUAGGUAAGUAAUUUCUCUUUUAUAUAGUUUUUUGCCGUAGCUAUAUCUAUUGAUAAGUGGAAGUUGCAGAACUUGCAUCUUGAUUGUGAUAUCUCU
Molecule: long non-coding RNA, 1064 nt
Filed under: Bemisia tabaci
Lineage: Eukaryota; Metazoa; Arthropoda; Insecta; Hemiptera; Aleyrodidae
Description: lncRNA ENSSSA2NGG013332
Source: RNAcentral